This 565-nucleotide ribosomal RNA is filed under the name uncultured bacterium. RNAcentral's name for it is "bacterial SSU rRNA". It matches the Rfam family "Bacterial small subunit ribosomal RNA", at positions 224 to 801 of the family's 1533-position model. The record is from RNAcentral.
GAUGGGCUCGCGGCCUAUCAGCUUGUUGGUGGGGUGAUGGCCUACCAAGGCGGCGACGGGUAGCCGGCCUGAGAGGGUGACCGGCCACACUGGGACUGAGACACGGCCCAGACUCCUACGGGAGGCAGCAGUGGGGAAUAUUGCGCAAUGGGCGGAAGCCUGACGCAGCGACGCCGCGUGAGGGAUGAAGGCCUUCGGGUUGUAAACCUCUUUCAGCUCCGAAGAAGCGAGAGUGACGGUAGGAGCAGAAGAAGCACCGGCUAACUACGUGCCAGCAGCCGCGGUAAUACGUAGGGUGCAAGCGUUGUCCGGAAUUAUUGGGCGUAAAGAGCUCGUAGGCGGCUCGUCGCGUCUGCUGUGAAAGCCCGGGGCUUAACCCCGGGUCUGCAGUGGGUACGGGCGGGCUAGAGUGCGGUAGGGGAGACUGGAAUUCCUGGUGUAGCGGUGAAAUGCGCAGAUAUCAGGAGGAACACCGGUGGCGAAGGCGGGUCUCUGGGCCGUAACUGACGCUGAGGAGCGAAAGCAUGGGUAGCGAACAGGAUUAGAUACCCUGGUAGUCCAUGCC